This 28-nucleotide non-coding RNA is filed under the name Homo sapiens (human). The record is from RNAcentral. Lineage: Eukaryota; Metazoa; Chordata; Mammalia; Primates; Hominidae.
UGCGAGGGGAUGCCCAUGAAUGUUUUUU